CCUACGGGAGGCAGCAGUGAGGAAUAUUGGUCAAUGGACGGAAGUCUGAACCAGCCAUGCCGCGUGCAGGAAGACGGCUCUAUGAAUUGUAAACUGCUUUUGUACAAGGGUAAACAUGAAUACGUGUAUUCAGCUGAAAGUACUGUACGAAUAAGCAUCGGCUAACUCCGUGCCAGCAGCCGCGGUAAUACGGAGGAUCCAAGCGUUAUCCGGAUUUAUUGGGUUUAAAGGGUGCGUAGGCGGAUUGAUAAGUUAGAGGUGAAAUGUCCGAGCUUAACUCGGGAACUGCCUCUAAUACUGUUGGUCUAGAGAGUAGAUGCGGUAGGCGGAAUGUAUGGUGUAGCGGUGAAAUGCUUAGAGAUCGUACAGAACACCGAUUGCGAAGGCAGCUUACCAAUCUAUAUCUGACGUUGAGGCACGAAAGCGUGGGGAGCAAACAGGAUUAGAUACCCGAGUAGUC
This 460-nucleotide ribosomal RNA is filed under the name uncultured bacterium. Its description in RNAcentral is "partial 16S ribosomal RNA". It matches the Rfam family "Bacterial small subunit ribosomal RNA", at positions 338 to 795 of the family's 1533-position model. The record is from RNAcentral.